This is a long non-coding RNA of Dipodomys spectabilis (banner-tailed kangaroo rat), 239 nucleotides long. RefSeq lists it as uncharacterized. NCBI's taxonomy places the organism in Eukaryota, Metazoa, Chordata, Mammalia, Rodentia, Heteromyidae. The record is from RefSeq and is a predicted model, not a curated record. The transcript has 3 exons.
AGGGGUGGGGUUGGGGAAGGACGUGUGCAGAGAGCAGCUAUCUUGUGCCUGUUCUGUUGGUUCAGGUUGUUUAGACUUGGUUGUAUGUGUGUAUUUUAGUUAAUAUUGCUAAGUAUUAAGGGUUAAGUCUUAAUGCUAAAAGUAGGAAGUAAAAAACAAUCCCUAUAUAAAUGUCUUUUUGUUAGUGUUUAGGGAAAACUGUCUUCUGGGAGUGAACUUAAUAUGAAGUCUCUCUCCAA